This 527-nucleotide ribosomal RNA is filed under the name uncultured soil bacterium. RNAcentral's name for it is "bacterial SSU rRNA". It matches the Rfam family "Bacterial small subunit ribosomal RNA", at positions 1 to 527 of the family's 1533-position model. The record is from RNAcentral.
UAGAGUUUGAUCCUGGCUCAGAUUGAACGCUGGCGGCAUGCUUUACACAUGCAAGUCGAGCGGCAGCGCGGGGGCAACCCUGGCGGCGAGCGGCGAACGGGUGAGUAAUGCAUCGGAACGUGUCCCGUAGUGGGGGAUAACCCGGCGAAAGCCGGGCUAAUACCGCAUAUGCUCUACGGAGGAAAGCGGGGGAUCCGCAAGGACCUCGCGCCAUGGGAGCGGCCGAUGCCCGAUUAGCUUGUUGGUGAGGUAAAGGCUUACCAAGGCGACGAUCGGUAGCUGGUCUGAGAGGAUGAUCAGCCACACUGGGACUGAGACACGGCCCAGACUCCUACGGGGGGCAGCAGUGGGGAAUUUUGGACAAUGGGGGCAACCCUGAUCCAGCCAUGCCGCGUGCGGGAAGAAGGCCUUCGGGUUGUAAACCGCUUUUAGCCGGGAAGAAAAGGCGCGGGCUAAUACCCUGUGUUUUUGACGGUACCGGCGGAAUAAGCACCGGCUAACUACGUGCCAGCAGCCGCGGUAAUACA